GGUUGACCUCGGAUCAGGUAGGAAUACCCGCUGGAACUUAAGCAUAUCAAUAAA
RNAcentral lists this ribosomal RNA (54 nucleotides) under Phyllachora sp. Its description in RNAcentral is "partial 28S ribosomal RNA". The record is from RNAcentral. Lineage: Eukaryota; Fungi; Ascomycota; Sordariomycetes; Phyllachorales; Phyllachoraceae.